UACUUGUUUAUUAAAAAUUUAGAUUUUAAUAAAACAUGCCUUGAAUUAUGGUAAAAAAAAAAAUUAUUAGUUCAGGUUCAAGUUUUUUGGUUCGGAUUUCAGAUUUUUGAUCGGAUUUGAAUUUGAAUAUGAAUUUUCAAAAUCAAAUAGGUUUGGAUUCAUGUUUUGAAUUAUGGUAAAGAAAAGUAAUUAUUUCGGGUUCGGAUUUCCGGUUUUUGGUCGGGUUAGGAUUUGGAUAUGAAUUUUCAAAAUCCGUCGCGUGUGGAUUCGGGUUUAUAUUUUUGGGUUUGGGU
Molecule: long non-coding RNA, 293 nt
Filed under: Ananas comosus (pineapple)
Lineage: Eukaryota; Viridiplantae; Streptophyta; Magnoliopsida; Poales; Bromeliaceae
Description: long non-coding RNA (ACOM_LNC028858)
Source: RNAcentral